AGGACAAACGCUGGCGGCGUGUAUUAGGCAUGCAAGUCGAGCGAGAAGCUGACCUUCGGGUUGGCGGACAGCGGCGGACGGGUGAGUAACACGUGGAUAACCUACCUAGUAGUGGGGAACAACUCGCCGAAAGGCGGGCUAAUACCGCAUAACACUCCCGGUGAGAUUCCGGGCAGUAAAAGCUUCGGCGCUACUAGACGGGUCUGCGGUCGAUUAGUUUGUUGGUGGGUAACGGCUCACCAAGGCGACGAUCGAUAGCUGGUCUGAGAGGAUGAUCAGCCACACGGGGACUGAG
This 295-nucleotide ribosomal RNA is filed under the name uncultured soil bacterium. RNAcentral's name for it is "partial 16S ribosomal RNA". It matches the Rfam family "Bacterial small subunit ribosomal RNA", at positions 26 to 323 of the family's 1533-position model. The record is from RNAcentral.